Molecule: long non-coding RNA, 1027 nt
Organism: Myotis myotis
Lineage: Eukaryota; Metazoa; Chordata; Mammalia; Chiroptera; Vespertilionidae
Exons: 3
Source: RefSeq, a predicted model, not a curated record
GUCCGCAAAUCUGAGCAUCUGUCCUCCCGGCCGGCCGAUCCCUUGCCCACCCGACCCCUGGAAAUCGGAACCGCAGCGUCACCAUCUCACAAUUCCCGGCGUCGACGCGGUGGGACUCUUAGUUCCUGGUCGUGGAUCGUAGAGAGUGGACAGGAAGCCAAAUUUCCUAUUUGCUCCUGGGAAGACUUUUCUGUGACUACCUCCUCUGCCCUGUCUGGCUCCUCCCUCGCAGUCCAGCUCGAACCCAGCCGAAGUAUCUUCAGAGAGCCUUCUGUGAUGUUCUCAGCUUAGGGCCAUCCCUCCCUCAUUUCAUCCUCUGAAUCCGGCAAACGCCUAGCAACUCUCCUAGGAAAUGUGCCUCCUAAGGCUGAAUGCAAAUGUGAAAAAAUAAUAGUGUGCAACGAUUAAGGAAUCCACACACCUUCUCUCAAGCCAGACCUAGUCAUUUCUGACAAAUGUGAUGAGAAUACAACCAUCACCACCAAAAAAACCCACAGAUACUCCGCUGAAAAGUCUCACUUUCUCCAGCUGCUGUCUCCAGGGCCACCUGAGAGUGGAAUGGAAAGGGAUUGAUCCAAUGGUGCUCAGAUGGGUGGGCUUCAGAACCACCUGGAAGGCUUGCUAAAACAGGUUUCUGGGCCCCACCCCAGAGUUUCUGAGCCACUAAGCCUUAUAGCAAUCAUUUCAAACUCAAAGGCUAACACGGGCCAAAUAAAUGAGGCCUGCGGGCCGCGAGUUUGACAUGCUUGCCUUAGAGUAUGCAUUUCUGACAAAUUCCCAGACGAUGCUGAUGCUGCUGGCCCAGGAACCACACUGUGAAAACCCCUGGCCUGAAUGAACUUGAAGCACAGCAGACAGAGGUCAAAGCUGUGUACCCUUGAAAGAAAGCAUUGGGCUCUCACCCCAACCCAGCUCAGGUGAGAGGUAGGGUGAGGCAAACACCAACCUGGGCUGGAAGGCUGUGUGUCCCUAGAUAAUAAACGAACAGACUCCAGGGGUAUAUAAACUUCAAUUCAUCUCUGGGGCA